AGAGUUUGAUCCUGGCUCAGGAUGAACGCUGGCGGCGUGCCUCAUACAUGCAGGUCGAACGGGUUUAGCGUGGUAGCAAUAUUAUGUUAAACUAGUGGCGAACGGGUGAGUAACACGUAGUUAACCUACCCUGAAAUUAGGGAUAACGUACCGAAAGGGACGCUAAGACCUUAUAAGACAAGUCUUCGCAUGAAGACAGGUUAAAAAAUGGCCUCUAUUUAUAAGCUAUGUUUCGGGAUGGGACUGCGGUCCAUUAGGUAGUUGGUGAGGUAAUGGCCCACCAAGCCUGCGAUGGAUAGCCGGACUGAGAGGUUGGACGGCCACAAUGGAACUGAGACACGGUCCAUACUCCUACGGGAGGCAGCAGUAGGGAAUAUUCCGCAAUGGGCGAAAGCCUGACGGAGCGACGCCGCGUGAAUGAAGAAGUCCUUCGGGAUGUAAAGUUCAAUCGGCCGGGGAAGAAUGGUUUGCAUACUAAUAAUAUGCGAGCAGAGACGGUACCCGGAAUGAAGCCACGGCUAAUUACGUGCCAGCAGCCGCGGUAAUACGUAAGUGGCAAGCGUUAUCCGGAAUCACUGGGGUGUAAAGGGUGUGUAGGCGGUAAUAAAAGUUUUGUGUUUAAAUUCAGGGCUCAACCCUGAACUGGCAUGAAGGACUGUAUUGCUAGAGUGACAAAGAGGAAACUGGAACUCCAGGUGAAGCGGUGAAAUGUGUAGAUAUCUGGGGGAACACCAAUGGCGAAGGCAGGUUUCUGGUUGUCAACUGACGCUGAGACACGAAAGCGUGGGGAUCAAACGGGAUUAGAUACCCCGGUAGUCCACGCUGUAAACGAUGUUCACUAGGUGUAGGAGGUAUCGACCCCUUCUGUGCCGCAGUUAACGCAUUAAGUGAACCACCUGGGGAAUACGAUCGCAAGAUUAAAACUCAAAGGAAUUGACGGGGGCCCGCACAAGCGGUGGAGUAUGUGGUUUAAUUCGAUGCAACCCGAAGAACCUUACCAGAAUUUGACAUGCUAGCAAAACUGUGUAGAAGUAUACAGGUUCACGUAGCAAUACGUGAGGCUGGACACAGGUGGUGCAUGGCUGUCGUCAGCUCGUGUCGUGAGAUGUUGGGUUAAGUCCCGCAACGAGCGCAACCCUUAUUUCUAGUUGCCAUCAAGUGAAGUUGGGCACUCUAGAGAAACUGCCGAUGACAAAUCGGAGGAAGGUGGGGAUGACGUCAAGUCAUCACGCCCUUUAUAUUCUGGGCCACACACGUACUACAAUGGCGCGUACAGAUGGUAGCGAUAUCGUAAGAUGGAGCCAAUCCCAAAAAGCGCGUCUCAGUUCGGAUUGAGGGCUGCAACUCGCCCUCAUGAAGCUGGAAUCGCUAGUAAUCGCGGAUCAGCAAGCCGCGGUGAAUACGUUCCCGGGCCUUGUACACACCGCCCGUCACACCACCUGAAUUUAUUGCACCCGAAGCCGUGUAUCCAACCGCAAGGGGGAGAGCGUCUAAGGUGUGGUCAGUAAGGGGGGUGAAGUCGUAACAAGGUAACC
Molecule: ribosomal RNA, 1535 nt
Filed under: uncultured bacterium
Lineage: Bacteria
Description: 16S ribosomal RNA
Rfam family: Bacterial small subunit ribosomal RNA
Source: RNAcentral